This is a long non-coding RNA of Cygnus olor (mute swan), 350 nucleotides long. RefSeq lists it as uncharacterized. Lineage: Eukaryota; Metazoa; Chordata; Aves; Anseriformes; Anatidae. The transcript is spliced from 3 exons. The record is from RefSeq and is a predicted model, not a curated record.
AGUAGGGAUUUCAGUUUUGCUGAAAUUCACUGCAGUUCAGUAGUUGCUACAUGGUACAUGACUCAAGCAGAGGUGGGGAGACCACUACCAUUGGGAAACACUUUACCUAUCCCAAGGCCACCAGGUCAUCAUGAGGAGAUCCAUAAAGAAAGCAAAGGCAGAUCAUUAAGACCAUACAGAAAACCAAUUCAGCAUAAACUCAGUGGCAUCUGGAGUUUACAACAAAUGAAACUCUUCCACUCACACGAUGUGAGGAUACCGUGACUUGGCAAAAUCACGCUUUGUGCUACUUCCUAGAUACUGGACAACAGGACAACUAUGUGAAAUGAAAAGAAGAUUUAUUAACCCUG